RNAcentral lists this long non-coding RNA (1019 nucleotides) under Homo sapiens (human). RNAcentral's name for it is "HSALNT0020064". Lineage: Eukaryota; Metazoa; Chordata; Mammalia; Primates; Hominidae. The record is from RNAcentral.
UGUGUUUGGAGGUGCGUGUGUGUGCUUGAAGGAGGUGUGUGUUAGGUGUGUGUGUGUGUUUGGAGGUGUGUGUGUGUGUUUGAAGGAGGUGUGUGUGUUUGGAGGGUGUGUGUGUGUUUGAAGGACAUGUGUUUCGAGGGUGUGUGUUUGAAGGAAGUGUGUGUUAGGUGUGUGUGGAGGUGUGUGUGUGUUUGAAGGAGGUGUGUGUUAGGUGUGUGUGUGUGUUUGGAGGUGUGUGUGUGUGUUUGAAGGAGGUGUGUGUGUUUGGAGGGUGUGUGUGUGUUUGAAGGACAUGUGUUUCGAGGGUGUGUGUUUGAAGGAAGUGUGUGUUAGGUGUGUGUGGAGGUGUGUGUGUGUGUUUGAAGGAGGGGUGUGUGUGUGUGUUUGGAGGUGUGUGUGUGUUUGAAGGAGGUGUGUGUUAGGUGUGUGUGUGUGUUUGGGGGUGUGUGUGUGUUUGGAGGCGUGUGUGUGUUUGGAGGUGUGUGUGUGUUUGGAGGUGUGUGUGUUUGAAGGAGGUGUGUGUUGGGUGUGUGUGUGUUUGCAGGUGUGUGUGUUUGGAGGUGUGUGUGUGUUUGGAGGUUGUGUGUGGAGGUGUGUGUGUGUGUGGAGGUGUGUGUGUGUGCUUGAAGGAGGUGUCUGUGAUGUGAUCCCAAGAAAAGGAACCACGAGCACAGAUCCUGCCUUCAGGAAGCUCCCAGACUGAAGGAGGAGGCAUGGCCCCUGCCCUAAAAGAGUUCCCCUCUCCUGAUGCAAAGAAACACAGCUCCUGUCCACAAGGAACCCUGAAUCUGAUGAAGUAGAGCAUCACAAUCAGACAAACAUACAGACAGAUGGGGACACACACACCCUACAAAGACAUAGUGAACAUAAUACUACCUGGUAUUUUCACAGGAAAUAAAAUCGCACCCCCUCUGUGCUAAACACCCCCCAAGGAGGAUCUUGCUUCAUGCAACAACUCACCGGGCAGAGAUGAUUAUUGACACUUGACAAACAAGUGUCAACCUUGGUCUUCCCAUUCC